This 82-nucleotide transfer RNA is filed under the name Dermacentor silvarum. Its description in RNAcentral is "transfer RNA leucine (anticodon AAG)". It matches the Rfam family "tRNA". Rfam says of the family: Transfer RNA (tRNA) molecules are approximately 80 nucleotides in length. Their secondary structure includes four short double-helical elements and three loops (D, anti-codon, and T loops). Further hydrogen bonds mediate the characteristic L-shaped molecular structure. tRNAs have two regions of fundamental functional importance: the anti-codon, which is responsible for specific mRNA codon recognition, and the 3' end, to which the tRNAs corresponding amino acid is attached (by aminoacyl-tRNA synthetases). tRNAs cope with the degeneracy of the genetic code in two manners: having more than one tRNA (with a specific anti-codon) for a particular amino acid; and 'wobble' base-pairing, i.e. permitting non-standard base-pairing at the 3rd anti-codon position. The record is from RNAcentral. Lineage: Eukaryota; Metazoa; Arthropoda; Arachnida; Ixodida; Ixodidae.
GGUAGCAUGGCCGAGCGGUCUAAGGCGCUGGUUUAAGGCACCAGUUUCCUCGGAAGCGUGGGUUCGAAUCCCACCGCUGCCA